GAAGCUUCUCGAAUGGUCCGUUAUAAAUGGCGAUGGUUGAUGAAGGUGCGAGGCCAUUUCGUUCUCCGACUCUGACAUCGAACCACCACAGUUAACGUUUACGAGAGAAUGCAUGUGAUUUCCAAAGCUUGACGAAUUGCCUGCGGCAUUGCGUUCACGAUCAACGAUUUUGGCCGACUGUAUAGGUGCAUAUGUUUACAUGAAUUCACAUAGCCGUGAACGGAAUACGCCUGAGGUAGCCCGAGGCUUACCUGGUCGGCUUAACGAGAAUCAUCAAUAGACGUUCGUAGAGUCGAUGCUUGGCUUUCUCUGAUAAAAGAAGAAUCAACACAAGCAAUCAGUGCUUCUGAAUAAUGCAAACUAGAAUUCCAUCGCUGACGUGAUCUAUGUAAAUACGCCUUGAGGAAGCAGCUAGAAGACAUGGAUGCAAGCAAAUUUUUUGUUGCCUAUUCAAGACGCGAAUGGACUUCAGUGAGUUGAUAAAGGAUAAAAGAGAUUCAGCACCGAUCGAAAAUCAUUAUCACGAGUAUGCUAUUCUGGAUACCAAUUACUGUACACCGGAAGUUCUCGACCGGAUGAAGGAAGGACGAGCGUCACAGCCUUGCCAUGUGCAAUGUCAGCAGCGACUGCUCGCUCGAUAUCGCGUUCAAGUAGCUCAGAUGCUCAAAAGAGCGAAACGUCCGUGAGGUGAUUGCUUCUCAGUUUGAAUUUUUUUCUUUUCAAUAAUUCAGGUGAACACUCAACAUAUACGUACAGCCAUUAAAUUCUGGUUUUAUUUUAGCAGACGAGGUCUGAAUGGCUGAUUUAAAAAAGGUGGCUCACGACGCAUACAGAAUAAUCCAUUCCUGGAUUUCCCAGCAACCACCACUCCCCUGUACGUAUAGAGUCCAACCCAGGGUUGCUCACGUUAUUAUUAUUCAGCCAAUAGGAAAGGGAAUUCCUGGACGAUCAAGAUCUUGGAGAAACCAGGAUUGCUGCUCGAAUCGCUUUGUUCGCCGUGUUCGUUUCGUUCCGGAACGGUAAUUGGAAGUGGAAUUCUAGAGUUCGCAUGCUCCGUCUUACAUUAGCUUGAGACCUGUUGCGCAACGUAACUCGCGCGUAUGGUUAUACAACGGCGUACAACUGCUGAGAAAUGUAAUACCUUUUUGUAGGUGGUGCGCGCGAGUGUGAUUGUUUGCUUCUAAAGAAUUUCGAUGGAUAAGACACGCGCGCUGCUGUGAUUACCCGGCGUGCAAUGCUCGGCAGUCAAGUAAGACACUAACUGUGCAACAGUACAAGUCUGAAGUUAUCCAACAGUCUUAUUGGCUAUCGGACGAGUAUCGAUUCUCAUGUUCAUCAGCGACAAUCUUCGUCAGGACAGUCAUUCCUAGCUGAGGAUAUAAUCGAAUGGCGUCUUGGCGUGGAAAGUGCGGCUCUCCAUUCUCAAGCAAUUCAUUCGUCUCGCAGUCUAAUUAACUCCGUUAAGGAGUUACGAGCUAUGAAAAAUACGUAAAAAGAAACUGCUGGAAAACGUGAGACCUCGCAAGACGGGGAAAACUCUCAGGACUUCGAGAAGCGUUUACACGAGGUUCGUCGAUCGAGAAAUGUAAACGGCGUCGCCCGAUCGAUUCUCGGCGAACACAGGAGAGCAAGCGCACGGGAAUCGUACGUAGCCUCGUACAAUCGGCCGACGCCGACGCCUCCUCCGCCACCAGGCGCCCUCAACCUCCCACACCUGCCACACCUCCGAGUCUCUCUGUACCUCAUCCAUUGGUAUCAACCUGCCUCGUUCUCUUCAUAUUUAUUUUUACUUCAGUCCUGUUCUCGUCUACCUAUAGCUUACUGGUUGGAAUUAAGAAUUCGAUCGAUCCACCCUCUUCCGCUGGUCCUUCGACUCCUCUUGCAACCCACCCUCGUCACAUUUUUGUCUCGCGCAACGAACUCGAGUUGCUUAUAGUAUCUCAGUAAGUCAUCUCCAUGAGUGAUUAACGUUGCUUAGGAAUCGAUUUUUUUUUAAACAGUUGCUUAUCGCUUCAGCUGGAUAUUCAACUGGUUAAUAAGCGAAUUAAGUAAAGAGAAAAAAACUGAUAGCUGCUUAAUAAUUAACGUGCGUAGACAUUUUUAGUAGAAAUAAAUAAUUAGAAUUUAUAUCCAAAAGCGAAACGAGAGACGCGAGUGGGAUAUUGUUUGUAGAUAAUUUUUCUGUCAUUAAUUCUGACAUUAGCAAUUAGCUGAUGAAGCGCGUGACUUCUCUGAUAAUAAUUACAAAUAUAUUAAUGCUAACGCAUGAGCCUCACCCUGCUGUAUAUACGGGUAAUUGAAUAUACAGAUAUAUAAAUUCUCUUGAAAUUCUUUCCUGUAAAUUUCCUGUUUGCGAGAUCCUCAUGGUCGAUUAGCAUCUCGUUUCUUUGCGUAACUUCUCUCGCUCGAAUGCUUAAAUCAUUACUAGCGCGGUGGACCAUACAGCGUUUAGAUGUUAGAUAAUCCUAGUUCACAACAGGUAGACCAAUAGGCUGAUAGCUACGACGUACUUGUAAAUAACUCUUUAAAUAAUUCUAGAAGGUUCAGGAAUUGUAACAGGUGCCCAAAGACUUUUGUAUGAUUUUUACUAAAAAAAAAAA
Molecule: long non-coding RNA, 2600 nt
Organism: Cephus cinctus (wheat stem sawfly)
Lineage: Eukaryota; Metazoa; Arthropoda; Insecta; Hymenoptera; Cephidae
Exons: 3
Source: RefSeq, a predicted model, not a curated record